RNAcentral lists this transfer RNA (73 nucleotides) under Cynoglossus puncticeps (speckled tonguesole). RNAcentral describes it as "tRNA-Leu". It matches the Rfam family "tRNA". Rfam says of the family: Transfer RNA (tRNA) molecules are approximately 80 nucleotides in length. Their secondary structure includes four short double-helical elements and three loops (D, anti-codon, and T loops). Further hydrogen bonds mediate the characteristic L-shaped molecular structure. tRNAs have two regions of fundamental functional importance: the anti-codon, which is responsible for specific mRNA codon recognition, and the 3' end, to which the tRNAs corresponding amino acid is attached (by aminoacyl-tRNA synthetases). tRNAs cope with the degeneracy of the genetic code in two manners: having more than one tRNA (with a specific anti-codon) for a particular amino acid; and 'wobble' base-pairing, i.e. permitting non-standard base-pairing at the 3rd anti-codon position. The record is from RNAcentral. Lineage: Eukaryota; Metazoa; Chordata; Actinopteri; Pleuronectiformes; Cynoglossidae.
AUUAAGAUGGCAGAAUGGUAUAUAGCUAAAGGUCUAAGCCCUUUCCAUAGAGGUUCAAUUCCUCUUCUUAAUU